UGAAUCAUAGUGUUGGCCAGUUCAGUCUGAUUCUACAAUAGAAUUUGUGAUUCCAAAACUGUUUCCAAUUUCGUUAUUUAAAACCGUGAUCUUGUCAUUAUUAAAUGAUGAAAAAUGGCCUUUCUACAGAUGAAUAACUCUUUGGAAGCAAUGAAACCUAUUUGAUGUGUUCUUUUCUGUCCAUAUGCGUGCGACUCUAUUUUGUUCCAUCUUUGGUUUUUCACCAUUUUGUCCAUUUGAUAGAACUUCAUAAUCGUUCAAAUAUUAAAAUCUUUCUUGUCAUUUUGGGCUUGAUUUUAUUUGAAUGGAACUUCUUUCCUGUUAUUCUUUGGUUUCCUUAUCAACUUG
RNAcentral lists this unclassified non-coding RNA (348 nucleotides) under Hevea brasiliensis (rubber tree). Lineage: Eukaryota; Viridiplantae; Streptophyta; Magnoliopsida; Malpighiales; Euphorbiaceae. The record is from RNAcentral.